This is a non-coding RNA of Zea mays, 93 nucleotides long. The record is from Rfam. NCBI's taxonomy places the organism in Eukaryota, Viridiplantae, Streptophyta, Magnoliopsida, Poales, Poaceae.
UGGCCUGUGACGAAACUCAGCAAUCAAAAACACCAUCUUUCGGGGCUGAUUGGCGCGAGCCAUGCUGUCACACUGCAAAGAAUUCUGAGGCCA